UACGUAGGUGGCAAGCGUUGUCCGGAAUUAUUGGGCGUAAAGCGCGCGCAGGCGGUCCUUUAAGUCUGAUGUGAAAGCCCACGGCUCAACCGUGGAGGGUCAUUGGAAACUGAAGGACUUGAGUGCAGGAGAGAAGAGUGGAAUUCCACGUGUAGCGGUGAAAUGCGUAGAGAUGUGGAGGAACACCAGUGGCGAAGGCGACUCUUUGGCCCGUAACUGACGCUGAGGCGCGAAAGCGUGGGGAGCAAACAGG
Molecule: ribosomal RNA, 253 nt
Filed under: uncultured bacterium
Lineage: Bacteria
Description: partial 16S ribosomal RNA
Rfam family: Bacterial small subunit ribosomal RNA
Source: RNAcentral